Molecule: ribosomal RNA, 361 nt
Filed under: uncultured fungus
Lineage: Eukaryota; Fungi
Description: eukaryotic LSU rRNA
Rfam family: Eukaryotic large subunit ribosomal RNA (bases 306-361)
Source: RNAcentral
GUGAGUCAUCGAGUCUUUGAACGCAUAUUGCACUCCUUUGGAGUAUGCCUGUUUGAGAAUCUAUAGUAUUCAUUUAGUCAGUUUACUUUCCAGUAAAUGACUGAGAUAUGAAGCGUCCCUUCUGGGUGCUUUCAAAUAGAUUGCUGGUUUGAAUACUAAGUGCUUGACGCUCUUUGUUUACUCUACAGAAACGUAUGUGAAUGGAACUGUGGUUUCUCAUAAUGCCUAUUAAGUAGAGAAAGAGCUAGCUUAGUGUUUGGGUUAGUUCAUACCAUUGAAGUCAUCUUUCGAGAUGACUUGAACCAUGGUCUCAAAUCAGGUAGGAAGACCCGCUGAACUUAAGCAUAUCAAUAAGCGGAGG